UACGUAGGGGGCUAGCGUUGUCCGGAUUUAUUGGGCGUAAAGCGCGUGUAGGCGGCUUUGCAAGUCGGAUGUGAAAGCCCACGGCUCAACCGUGGAAGUGCAUCCGAAACUGCAUGGCUGGAGUCUCGGAGAGGAAGGUGGAAUGCUUGGUGUAGAGGUGAAAUUCGUAGAUAUCAAGCAGAACACCUGCGGCGAAGGCGGCCUUCUGGACGAUGACUGACGCUGAGACGCGAAAGCGUGGGGAGCAAACAGG
This 253-nucleotide ribosomal RNA is filed under the name uncultured bacterium. RNAcentral's name for it is "partial 16S ribosomal RNA". It matches the Rfam family "Bacterial small subunit ribosomal RNA", at positions 524 to 776 of the family's 1533-position model. The record is from RNAcentral.